ACUGCUCAGUACACGUGGAUAACCUGCCCUUGGGACCGGGAUAACCCCGGGAAACUGGGGAUAAACCCGGAUAGGUGAUGCUGCCUGGAAUGGUUCUUCACCGAAACACCUUCGGGUGCCCAAGGAUGGGUCUGCGGCCGAUUAGGUUGUUGGUAGGGUAACGGCCUACCAAGCCGAUCAUCGGUACGGGUUGUGAGAGCAAGAGCCCGGAGAUGGAACCUGAGACAAGGUUCCAGGCCCCUACGGGGCGCAGCAGGCGCGAAACCUCCGCAAUGCACGCAAGUGCGACGGGGGAACCCCAAGUGCCACUCUUAACGGGGUGGCUUUUCAGAAGUGUAAAAAGCUUCUGAAUAA
RNAcentral lists this ribosomal RNA (354 nucleotides) under uncultured archaeon. Its description in RNAcentral is "bacterial SSU rRNA". It matches the Rfam family "Archaeal small subunit ribosomal RNA", at positions 85 to 437 of the family's 1478-position model. The record is from RNAcentral.